RNAcentral lists this ribosomal RNA (447 nucleotides) under uncultured bacterium. Its description in RNAcentral is "partial 16S ribosomal RNA". It matches the Rfam family "Bacterial small subunit ribosomal RNA", at positions 29 to 523 of the family's 1533-position model. The record is from RNAcentral.
AACGAACGCUGGCGGCAGGCUUAACACAUGCAAGUCGAACGCCCCGCAAGGGGAGUGGCAGACGGGUGAGUAACACGUGGGAACAUGCCCAAAGGUACGGAAUAUUCUCGGGAAACUGGGAGCAAUACCGUAUGUGCCCGAAAGGGGAAAGAUUUAUCGCCUUUGGAUUGGCCCGCGUUGGAUUAGCUAGUUGGUGGGGUAAAAGCCUACCAAGGCGAUGAUCCAUAGCUGGUCUGAGAGGACGACCAGCCACACUGGGACUGAGACACGGCCCAGACUCCUACGGGAGGCAGCAGUGGGGAAUCUUGGACAAUGGGCGCAAGCCUGAUCCAGCCAUGCCGCGUGAGUGAUGAAGGCCCUAGGGUUGUAAAACUCUUUCGUGGGGGACGAUAAUGACGGUACCCCAGGAAGAAACUCCGGCUAACUUCGUGCCAGCCGCCGCCGUAA